Molecule: ribosomal RNA, 253 nt
Filed under: uncultured bacterium
Lineage: Bacteria
Description: partial 16S ribosomal RNA
Rfam family: Bacterial small subunit ribosomal RNA
Source: RNAcentral
UACGUAGGGUGCGAGCGUUGUCCGGAAUUAUUGGGCGUAAAGGGCUCGUAGGCGGUUUGUCACGUCGGGAGUGAAAACUCAGGGCUUAACCCUGAGCCUGCUUCCGAUACGGGCAGACUAGAGGUAUGCAGGGGAGAACGGAAUUCCUGGUGUAGCGGUGAAAUGCGCAGAUAUCGAGAGGAACACCUGCGGCGAAGGCGGGUUGCUGGGCCGACACUGACGCUGAUGCGCGAAAGCCAGGGGAGCGAACGGG